Non-coding RNA from Hydra vulgaris (swiftwater hydra), 445 nucleotides. The record is from RefSeq and is a predicted model, not a curated record. NCBI's taxonomy places the organism in Eukaryota, Metazoa, Cnidaria, Hydrozoa, Anthoathecata, Hydridae.
AGUUUUUAUAUGCAUUUAAUAUUUUUAAAAAUAGUUCAAAAGCUGUCAAAAUAAAAUGGUGAAUUGAGUUUAAACCAGAAAAGAUAUAAACGUAAUCUUUGGGAUUCAACUUGUAAGGAUGUUCCAAGAACCACUUAGUUGGAGAAGGAAAACUGUGCCGUUCAUUAACAAGUCCUGUGCUUUAUAAUAUAUUAAAAAAUGGAAGGACGUGAAGAAAACAGGCAGGAAUGUUUGACUGGAAAUAUAAACGAUGUUGUACAUAAUGCAGAUAGCUUAGGCAAAAAAGAGAUUGGUAAAAUGGAGAAUGAGACUAACUAGGGUGAAAAAAAAUGAAUAUUAAUAUGUGAAUGGUACUUUGUUUAACAUCUACCUGUUUCUACAGAUACAGUACAGACGCAUUUAUAAAUGGGCUUGAUGUUUUUUUGAAUUAAAUAUGUUGUAUUGA